Molecule: long non-coding RNA, 3068 nt
Filed under: Androctonus crassicauda
Lineage: Eukaryota; Metazoa; Arthropoda; Arachnida; Scorpiones; Buthidae
Source: RNAcentral
AUGCGACUGUAUGAAUUGUAAUGACUUUCGCAGAAGGGUUAAAAAAAAAAAAAAAAAAGUAAAAUAUCACGAAUGAAAAUUUAAUAAUGGGUUUAAUUAAUUUCGAAACGUGCCGUAAAAUUACUGGCAGAAAUUUUAUGCGGAAUGCAACGCGUAAAAAUUCAUUAGCGGACAUAACUUGUAACCGAAAUUAGAUACUUUUAUAAAGAACAUGUAAAGCCAAGAUGGCGUAACCGAUAGUGAUAUCCCCCACACACAAAAAUUAAUCCAAGAACAACAAGCUAAUUAAGUUACGGCAGCGCCAUGCUUCGAAAAUGUGCUACUUUCAGGAAAAUGACAAAUAAGUAAUUCUAGAAAAAUAUUUUUAUCUGGAACACGAUUCUAACUGAAUUCUGUAACGCGAUACUGAUUUAAAUAUAUAUAUAAAAACGGAUUAUUCAAGAACACGAUGCUAAAUAAAUCUGGGGAGGUCCAUAUCGGGGAAUAUAAAUCCGAAUACUUCUGAUUCAAACUAGAUAUGUUCUUAUCUAGAGAUUGUCGAACAAAUUCAGGAACAUUUUAUAGAUAAAUGUGUAUGUCGAAUGUAGAUAACUGUGACUGAUAAAGUUAUAGCGUAUCUCAUAAAAAUUAACUCAAAAACGUGAUGAUAAUUAAGCACUGUAACGUAAUGAUUGCGGUGAAUAAAUAUAUUCCGAAGUAUGUUUUCCAGGUACAUGUCGUUGACGGAAACAAAAAUUGGGCUCUUAUACUAACUAAAUUUAGGAAACAUAAAUUUGAUUAAAUCUAAGAACAUGCUGCUAAUUCAAUUUGGAGGCAUUCUCAUGUAGAUAGAUAAUGCUGAAUAAAUUUAAAAAUAUUUUGUAGAGGGAUAUGAUGUUGAGUGUAGGCAAUUGGAACUGAUAGGCCGCAUAGAAAUUAAGUCGGGAACAAGAUGAUAACUAUAUUUAAGAGUAUUAAAAAACAUAAUGAUAAUUAAACCUAGAAAAAUAUUUAUUUAGAACAUAAUGAUCGAAUUCGAUAAUUAAAUCUGAAACCCGGAUUAUCCAAGAACAUUUUAGUAAAUAAAUAUAAUGAAGUUCAAAUGAGGGGACAUAAAGCUGAAUAACUUCAUAAAUAUGUUUCUAAUUCAAACUAAUUGUACGUUUAUAUGAUGCUGAACAAAUUCAGGAACAUUUUAUAGAUCUGUGUAUUGAAUGCAGAUAAUUGUUAACUAAUAGAACAUACAAAAAUUAAGUCGUGAUUAUAAUUAAAUAUAGGAACAUAUACGUGAUCAAUGCAUCAGGAAACAUGUAUUUCAGGAAGAUAAUGUUGAUUAAAAGAGUUAUAAUGGGUUGUAAUAACUAAAUUCAGGAAAGUUAAUAUUCAAGAACAUAAAUUUGAUUAAAUUUAAAGAACAUGAUGCUAAUUCAGUUUAAAAAAAUUAUCAUCUGUAAAUGAAAUGCUGAAUAAAUUCAGGAACGUUCUGAAAGAGGAAUAUAAUACUGAAUACGGAUAACUGUAACUGAUAGGACUAAUCCUGCAUAAAAUAUUAAUUCACAAAUACAGGAACGUAACUAUAUUUAGGAAUAAGCUAUUAAGGUAUGUGAUAAUUAAAUCUAUCCAAAAACUAGAUUUGUUUAGUAACUUGUGAGGUCCAUUUUCGUGUACGUGAGGCUGAAUUAUUCGUGCUUCUGAUUCACAAUAGAUAUUUUUCUUAUCUAGAAAUGCUGAACAAAUUUAGGAAUAUUUUAUAGAUAAAUAUAUAUGUUGAACGCAGAUAAACUAUAACUGAUAGACCUAUACUGCAUAAUUAAUCCAAAAAGUGAUAGUAGUUAGAUAAGUAAGCAUAAACGGAAACACGAUGGCAAAUAUAUUCAAAAAUAUGCAUUUCGGCAACAUAAAUUUGAUUAAGGUUAUGCUGCCGAUUCAUUUUAGGAACGUUCUUAUCUGGAAAGAUAAUGCUGAAUAAAUUACAGAAAGGAAUAUCAUGUCGGAUUUAGAUAACUAUAAACGAUAAGAUAAUUCUACAAAUAAAAAUAAUUCAUAAUAUGCUUGAUAAAUAAACCUAGAAAAAUAUUUAUCUAGAACAUGAUUCUAACCAAAUCAGGCAAAACAGUAGUGACAUAAAAUUGACUAAAACCAGGAACAUGCUGCUAAUUCAGUCUAGUUUAAGGACAAGGCAUCGAAUAAACUAAUAUUAAAAGACAAAAUUGGAUAGUUUUUAACAAUGUUUCGGUAGAAAUAAGAGAAUAAUAAUAAUAAAAAGGCAGUUAUUUUCUCUGUCGAAUUUACAUUUCGCUAAUAUUAAAAAAUAUGUAAUUUAUCUCUCAAAAUACACGGAAUGAAAGUACAUUUGUCGUGAGUAUAGUUCUAUAUACAAACGAUAAAAACAUUCAGACAGUUCUUUUCAUCCAAUCGCUCUUGUGUACACAUUGCUUUGCCUCCGGGUUCUAUAUAAGUUCUGAUAUGCGUAUCCAUUCUGUUAUGGAAGGAAAACACUUGGGAUUUGAAUACGAUCGACAUUAGUUAUUGUGAGUGAUAUAUAAGCCAGUGUGGUUCGGGGCAAUUGCCAAGACAAACUGCUUACCUGAGAAACUAGAUAUAAUAAAAGCAUCCGUAUUGACACAUAGAUGAUCAAUUAAAAUCCUCCGGUUGCAUUUCCAAGUUUGCUUUAAUCGAUUUUUAUUUAUCGAACACGGUAAGAAUAUUCAAUCAAAAUUGUCAUUAAAAAUUAUCCGGAAAACAAUGCUGGAUUGGUAUACUCAUCGCAUCUUUUGAUGGAUGUGACGUAACCGUAGAUAAAUUUAGUAAUUCGUCAUGCAGCCAACAUACCAGAAAAUAUAUAUGUGCGUAUAUAUGUACGAUAAUGGAAGAAAGGUGUAUAGUUUAAACAGAAACGGGGUUCGUUGCCUUUCAAUGAAUUUGUUUCUCGUUUAUUUAUCGAAGAACGACUUUCGAACAAUAAGGAAAAUAGCCCGAAGAGUAGUUAUUUGCAUUAUAAUCAAUUUAACGAAUAUCAUAUAUUUUAUCAUUAGAUUGAAUUCUAGAAAAAUCAACAAAAAUCUUUUAUUGUUUUCUAAACAAUUCGC